RNAcentral lists this ribosomal RNA (429 nucleotides) under Gemmatimonadota bacterium. RNAcentral describes it as "Gemmatimonadetes bacterium partial 16S ribosomal RNA". It matches the Rfam family "Bacterial small subunit ribosomal RNA", at positions 355 to 776 of the family's 1533-position model. Lineage: Bacteria; Pseudomonadati; Gemmatimonadota. The record is from RNAcentral.
UAGGGAAUCUUCGGCAAUGGACGAAAGUCUGACCGAGCAACGCCGCGUGAGUGAAGAAGGUUUUCGGAUCGUAAAACUCUGUUGUUAGAGAAGAACAAGGACGUUAGUAACUGAACGUCCCCUGACGGUAUCUAACCAGAAAGCCACGGCUAACUACGUGCCAGCAGCCGCGGUAAUACGUAGGUGGCAAGCGUUGUCCGGAUUUAUUGGGCGUAAAGCGAGCGCAGGCGGUUUCUUAAGUCUGAUGUGAAAGCCCCCGGCUCAACCGGGGAGGGUCAUUGGAAACUGGGAGACUUGAGUGCAGAAGGGGAGAGUGGAAUUCCAUGUGUAGCGGUAAAAUGCGUAGAUAUAUGGAGGAACACCAGUGGCGAAGGCGGCUCUCUGGUCUGUAACUGACGAUGAGGCUCGAAAGCGUGGGGAGCAAACAGG